RNAcentral lists this long non-coding RNA (724 nucleotides) under Anas platyrhynchos platyrhynchos (common mallard). RNAcentral's name for it is "lncRNA (ENSAPLG00000016496.1)". Lineage: Eukaryota; Metazoa; Chordata; Aves; Anseriformes; Anatidae. The record is from RNAcentral.
GGGGAGAGAGAUCCUUAUUACUACUCUGAAUGCAACACGUUGUCUCAAAACCAUCUAUAGAGCUGCAGGCCCAGAGAUGUUCCCCUACCACAGAGGUUUACUUGUGUAACACAAAGCUGCAGCCAGGAAUUUGGCUGCCAGAAGCUUCCCUUUUUCCCCUGGAUGCUAUUGCAUACUUCACAAUUGAAAGCCGUAGCCAGAACUCAGAUGGCUCAAUCCAAGGUUACCCUCUCCACAGAGCUCUGUUGUGUCCUCUUCCUGCAUCCAUGGCUAUUCCAUUGAUUCACUGCAGCCAAGCUCAUUUUCGUUCAUGGACUUACACGAGUGUAUUGUCAUGCAAAUUGGGGAUGGAGGAUGCUGGUGGACACUCAGGAGGAGGAUGGCAUGGGGACAGGAGAGGUGCAGUAUGCACGUUGUGUUAAUCACUUGACUGCAGACUAGGGAACUCAGUCAUCAGCCAGAAAAGGAGCAACACAUUUCAUGUUUAGCCACCUCAUAUGGACACAGAACAAUGAGCUUGCUUCACUGGCCAUGUCCUUUCUGUGUGUCAGCCAUGAAAGGAGAUGAAUACUCACCGAGUGUACUGAACACUUGCACAGAAUGCCUAAAAACUGUGGGACUGCAAAGGCUGUGCAGUGCUCCAGUCCAUAACUAAUCCAUUGUCAUGUGCUUACAAAAUGCAGACACUGCCAGGAAUAAAACUCAAGGCUGAGGACCUGGUCCA